AACCGGGUCUAGGCAGUGGCGUGUCUAUUCAAGAGAGUGCUCAAACUAAGACAGAGCACUCUUGGAUGUGUGAAGAAGAAGGCUACUCUAUCAAGACGGUUUCUAGUGUGAGGUGAUUGAAGAAGUAGCUGAAACUUCCACAAGCAUUCCAUCUUGGUGGCGAAUUCAGAAGGGUGAUUGCAAUGGUUUGUUGUUCCGGAUCAAGAGACUCUCACCUGCCCAAGCUUGGUUCUUCCUAGACUUAAUUCCAAGCUUAAGAGGGAGUGUUGAAGA
Molecule: long non-coding RNA, 273 nt
Filed under: Brassica napus (rape)
Lineage: Eukaryota; Viridiplantae; Streptophyta; Magnoliopsida; Brassicales; Brassicaceae
Description: long non-coding RNA (BNAP_LNC002677)
Source: RNAcentral